GACGAACGCUGGCGGCGUGCUUAACACAUGCGAGUCGAACGGAAAGGCCCUGCGUUUGUGGGGUGCUCGAGUGGCGAACGGGUGAGUAACACGUGAGUAACCUGCCCUUGACUUUGGGAUAACUUCAGGAAACUGGGGCUAAUACCGGAUAGGAGCUCCUGCUGCAUGGUGGGGGUUGGAAAGUUUCGGCGGUUGGGGAUGGACGCGCGGCUUAUCAGCUUGUUGGUGGGGUAGUGGCUUACCAAGGCUUUGACGGGUAGCCGGCCUGAGAGGGUGACCGGCCACAUUGGGACUGAGAUACGGACCAGACUCCUACGGGAGGCAGCAGUGGGGAAUAUUGCACAAUGGGCGGAAGCCUGAUGCAGCAACGCCGCGUGCGGGAUGACGGCCUUCGGGUUGUAAACCGCUUUCGCCUGUGACGAAGCGUGAGUGACGGUAAUGGGUAAAGAAGCACCGGCUAACUACGUG
Molecule: ribosomal RNA, 468 nt
Filed under: uncultured bacterium
Lineage: Bacteria
Description: partial 16S ribosomal RNA
Rfam family: Bacterial small subunit ribosomal RNA
Source: RNAcentral